AGCGAACGCUGGCGGCAGGCCUAACACAUGCAAGUCGAACGAACUCUUCGGAGUUAGUGGCGGACGGGUGAGUAACACGUGGGAACGUGCCUUUUGGUUCGGAAUAACUCAGGGAAACUUGUGCUAAUACCGAAUGUGCCCUUCGGGGGAAAGAUUUAUCGCGAUUAGAGCGGCCCGCGUCUGAUUAGCUAGUUGGUGAGGUAACGGCUCACCAAGGCGACGAUCAGUAGCUGGUCUGAGAGGAUGACCAGCCACACUGGGACUGAGACACGGCCCAGACUCCUGCGGGAGGCAGCAGUGGGGAAUCUUGCGCAAUGGGCGGAAGCCUGACGCAGCCAUGCCGGGUGAAUGAUGAAGGUCUUAGGAUUGUAAAAUUCUUUCACCGGGGACGAUAAUGACGGUACCCGGAGAAGAAGCCCCGGCUAACUUCGUG
This 433-nucleotide ribosomal RNA is filed under the name uncultured bacterium. Its description in RNAcentral is "partial 16S ribosomal RNA". It matches the Rfam family "Bacterial small subunit ribosomal RNA", at positions 29 to 507 of the family's 1533-position model. The record is from RNAcentral.